GGUCGUGCUGCGGGCAGGCGGCGGACUGCCGCUGGCGCGCCGUCCGAUGACGCAGCCUUAUCAUCGUCACCUUAUCUUUUAGGUUUUUGGGGCGCUGCUGGAGACCCUCCACGUGUCAUCAUAUGAACACCGAGUAGUAUCAGACCAGCCGGAGAUCACAACAAUGUUUGAUGCAUGAUGGAGAGCACUGCAGGGUUUACAACUAUUACCAGACCGUACUGUGAAUGUAAUCAGCCUUAUCUUAAAAGCUUGGUAACCUGGAUGUUGGAUGACCAGUUUCUGAACACUGGGAGAGGACUACAGGGAUAAAGUCAGAUUUUUCACCUGGAAGCUGUUAAGUAUAUUAUAGAUCAUCUCUGCUAUUACUGGGCUAACAAGGGGCAGGGAUCCACCUUUGAUCAUUUAUGUA
This is a long non-coding RNA of Numida meleagris (helmeted guineafowl), 409 nucleotides long. RefSeq lists it as uncharacterized. The record is from RefSeq and is a predicted model, not a curated record. The transcript has 3 exons. Lineage: Eukaryota; Metazoa; Chordata; Aves; Galliformes; Numididae.